Molecule: ribosomal RNA, 483 nt
Filed under: uncultured bacterium
Lineage: Bacteria
Description: partial 16S ribosomal RNA
Rfam family: Bacterial small subunit ribosomal RNA
Source: RNAcentral
AUUGAACGCUGGCGGCAGGCCUAACACAUGCAAGUCGAGCGGAUGAAGGGAGCUUGCUCCUGGAUUCAGCGGCGGACGGGUGAGUAAUGCCUAGGAAUCUGCCUGGUAGUGGGGGAUAACGUCCGGAAACGGGCGCUAAUACCGCAUACGUCCUGAGGGAGAAAGUGGGAGAUCUUCGGACCUCACGCUAUCAGAUGAGCCUAGGUCGGAUUAGCUAGUUGGUGGGGUAAAGGCCUACCAAGGCGACGAUCCGUAACUGGUCUGAGAGGAUGAUCAGUCACACUGGAACUGAGACACGGUCCAGACUCCUACGGGAGGCAGCAGUGGGGAAUAUUGGACAAUGGGCGAAAGCCUGAUCCAGCCAUGCCGCGUGUGUGAAGAAGGUCUUCGGAUUGUAAAGCACUUUAAGUUGGGAGGAAGGGCAGUAAGUUAAUACCUGGCUGUUUUGACGUUACCAACAGAAUAAGCACCGGCUAACUUCGU